Molecule: long non-coding RNA, 206 nt
Organism: Carlito syrichta (Philippine tarsier)
Lineage: Eukaryota; Metazoa; Chordata; Mammalia; Primates; Tarsiidae
Exons: 2
Source: RefSeq, a predicted model, not a curated record
AGCUGUCCUCCCACUUCAGCCUCUCAAAGCACUGAGAUCACAGAGAUGUAGUCCCGCUAUGUUGCUCAUACUGGUCUUGAACUCUUGGACUCAAGCAAUCCUCCUGCCUCCCAAAGUGCUGGAUUACAGACAUGAGGUACCACAUCCAGCCUUACCUUUCUUCAAGUAUCCUGUUAUUAUCCCUAAUAAAAACUUGUUAGACUGUU